AAGGAUGCUUGGGUUUGGCGUUGGAAUCAGAGAGGAAGAGAAAGUUAAGGAGAAAAGAUCUUUAUUCACUCAGUCAUGUUAUGAAACCCUAAUACAACCUAUGUAUAUUUAUACACAGCCAUUUGGCCUAAUAAAAAAUUUUUCUUAGCUAAACCCAAUACAUGAAAGCACUCAUCGAAUCAUGUCUAAUUUAUAUCUCACAUGCUCUCACCCCU
This 215-nucleotide long non-coding RNA is filed under the name Elaeis guineensis (African oil palm). Its description in RNAcentral is "long non-coding RNA (EGUI_LNC012432)". Lineage: Eukaryota; Viridiplantae; Streptophyta; Magnoliopsida; Arecales; Arecaceae. The record is from RNAcentral.